UGAGGAAUAUUGGUCAAUGGGCGAGAGCCUGAACCAGCCAAGUAGCGUGCAGGAUGACGGCCCUAUGGGUUGUAAACUGCUUUUAUAUGGGAAUAAAGUGAGGGACGUGUCCCUUAUUGCAUGUACCAUACGAAUAAGGACCGGCUAAUUCCGUGCCAGCAGCCGCGGUAAUACGGAAGGUCCAGGCGUUAUCCGGAUUUAUUGGGUUUAAAGGGAGCGUAGGCUGUUUGUUAAGCGUGUUGUGAAAUGUAGGAGCUCAACUUUUAGAUUGCAGCGCGAACUGGCAGACUUGAGUGCGCACAACGUAGGCGGAAUUCAUGGUGUAGCGGUGACAUGCUUAGAUAUCAUGACGAACUCCGAUUGCGAAGGCAGCUUACAGGAGCGCAACUGACGCUAAAGCUCGAAGGUGCGGGUAUCGAACAGG
This 424-nucleotide ribosomal RNA is filed under the name Verrucomicrobiota bacterium. RNAcentral's name for it is "Verrucomicrobia bacterium partial 16S ribosomal RNA". It matches the Rfam family "Bacterial small subunit ribosomal RNA", at positions 355 to 776 of the family's 1533-position model. Lineage: Bacteria; Pseudomonadati; Verrucomicrobiota. The record is from RNAcentral.